This 450-nucleotide ribosomal RNA is filed under the name uncultured bacterium. Its description in RNAcentral is "partial 16S ribosomal RNA". It matches the Rfam family "Bacterial small subunit ribosomal RNA", at positions 354 to 796 of the family's 1533-position model. The record is from RNAcentral.
GUGGGGAAUUUUGGACAAUGGGCGCAAGCCUGAUCCAGCAAUGCCGCGUGCAGGAAGAAGGCCUUCGGGUUGUAAACUGCUUUUGUACGGAACGAAACGGUCCUGGUUAAUACCCGGGGCUAAUGACGGUACCGUAAGAAUAAGCACCGGCUAACUACGUGCCAGCAGCCGCGGUAAUACGUAGGGUGCAAGCGUUAAUCGGAAUUACUGGGCGUAAAGCGUGCGCAGGCGGUGCUGUAAGACAGGCGUGAAAUCCCCGGGCUUAACCUGGGAAGUGGGCUUGUGACUGCAGUGCUGGAGUGCGGCAGAGGGGGAUGGAAUUCCGCGUGUAGCAGUGAAAUGCGUAGAUAUGCGGAGGAACACCGAUGGCGAAGGCAAUCCCCUGGGCCUGCACUGACGCUCAUGCACGAAAGCGUGGGGAGCAAACAGGAUUAGAUACCCCAGUAGUCC